ACGGCUAAUAGAUUAGGGAUUGACGAGAUUUUUUUUUCCCAGAUCACUCGCCAUCCCUCUUCCUCUUCCUCUUCCUCUUCUGUUCUUCUUCAGUUAUGACUGGGCAUUUCUUCUGUCGCCGAAACGAUUCGGCCUUCCGUAACGCUUCUCGAAUCCUCAUUUAUAUAACGUACUCGAGCUGCCUUAGCCGCCGUCCCUACCGUCGCCCCUGUCUCCGCCGUCACCGCUUCCGCAGAUGCCGCCAUCUCCGCCACCGCUGCCGUCUCCACCGCCGCCACCGUUCCCUACACCACCUUUGACUCACUCCGACUUGGCAGGACCGCCCAGUGUUUGGUCGGUAGAUGAAAGAUAUCAAUAUACCGCCCAGUGUUUCUCUAUUGAUACUUCAUCUGCUUUCAAUAUGGGUACUCCACAUCAACUUAUAUUAGGUUAUUAGUCUCUCUUGCCUGUUUAAUUGUUAUUAAUCUCGAUUUGCUUCUGUCUGAUUUGAAGGCUGGACGGCGUAGGGAAACUGUUGUCACUAGCAUCCUCUGUUUUUGGUAGCAAGAAUGUGAAGAAACCUAGAGAGCUUAUUGGGGUUGAUUUGGUUAUGUCGAGGAAACUCAAAAUUGCACCUAAACCUAAAUUUCAACCACUAAGAACCGCUCUCAGAUGGUGCUGUGGAUGAAGCUUUCAGGGAAGAGAGAGUGUCUCUUUGAGGAUGGACAAUGCAGAAGACCCACAACGUAGGCUGCUUCCACACUGCCUAAAGGACUCAGUGGGCAGCACUUUCACUUUCCCGUCGAAGCUUUCUCCAUUCAACUUCUAUUCAAAGAAUCAAACAUUCACCGUUUCACAGAUAUUUGACCGCAAUCAGCGUCCACCACCCUCAAGCUUUGCGAGGGUUGAGCUGAUUUAUUCAUGACUUUCCUGCUUUGGUUAAAUGAUAAGCUGGCAAAGGAAGUUAAGCUUCUAAAGAAUCACUCACAUUCAAAUAUAGUUGUAUUUAGGCACAAGGGAAUGCUAAGGAAAAAAACUACUGCUAAGGAAAAUAUAAAAGGGAAUGCUUUGUUUGGGAUAGCUGAGAAGGUUUUUUCUUGCUAAAUAUAGCUGAGAAGGGGUUUCUGCACCUCAUAGGAGAAAAUGAAUAGAAGAAGAUGGACAGAGAGAGGAAAAACAGAGUGCAAAGCUAAUAAUGAGAGAGUUUAUAAAAAAUGAUGUACCGGAAAGUAAUGGCGUCAGGUGAAGUUUCUGAAGUAAAAAAGAAAGAAAGUGGAAGACUAUAUUUCAGUUGUUCAAAGAAAAAAAAAAGGAAGACUGUAUUUCAGUAGAAACCAUUGUCAAAAAGUUUGGAGAGAUUAAGGAUCCGCAACAAGUUACUUCACAAGAAGAGGAAAAGAUUUUAGAAAAGAGUAACUAUUUUUGUUUUCCGAUCCGUAAUUUUUACGGUUUGAUUAGGAAGAAACACUCCAAACAAAUUCUAAUCAAUUAUAUUUGUUGUCUGAAAAUGAUGAUGUCCAUGCUUAUUAAUGGAAUUUAAAC
RNA transcript from Raphanus sativus (radish), 1521 nucleotides. RefSeq lists it as uncharacterized. The transcript is spliced from 6 exons. NCBI's taxonomy places the organism in Eukaryota, Viridiplantae, Streptophyta, Magnoliopsida, Brassicales, Brassicaceae. The record is from RefSeq and is a predicted model, not a curated record.